UACGGAGGGUGCAAGCGUUGUCCGGAAUCACUGGGCGUAAAGGGCGCGUAGGCGGCCUGGUAAGUAGGGGGUGAAAUCCUGCGGCUUAACCGCAGGGCUGCCUUCUAAACUGUCAGGCUUGAGCACGGUAGAGGCAGAUGGAAUUCCCGGUGUAGCGGUGGAAUGCGUAGAUAUCCGGAGGAACACCGGUGGCGAAGGCGGCUUCCUGGACCGACACUGACGCUGAGGCGCGAAAGCUAGGGGAGCAAACGGG
This 253-nucleotide ribosomal RNA is filed under the name uncultured bacterium. RNAcentral's name for it is "partial 16S ribosomal RNA". It matches the Rfam family "Bacterial small subunit ribosomal RNA", at positions 524 to 776 of the family's 1533-position model. The record is from RNAcentral.